AAGUCAAUGGAAAAAACGAGCAUUAAACCAAGCACCCCAUGCUCUGAAGAGGGGAGGGUGCCAGGUCCCACUGAGGUCUAUGCAGAAGAUUGCUGUACAGUGGGGGAUUCCCCCAGUGUGAGUCCACACUUAGGAGUCCCUACUCUGACUCCAUAUAUAGCUAUGUCCUAUAUGGAAGCAGUGCUUGGGGACACC
This is a long non-coding RNA of Bufo bufo (common toad), 195 nucleotides long. RefSeq lists it as uncharacterized. The record is from RefSeq and is a predicted model, not a curated record. Lineage: Eukaryota; Metazoa; Chordata; Amphibia; Anura; Bufonidae. The transcript has 3 exons.